GGGGGGGGGGGGGGGGGGGGGGGGGGGGGGCGGGGCGGGGGGGCGGGGGGGGGGGGGGCGGCUCGGGCGUGAGCGGGGGGCGGGUGAGUAACACGUGGAGAACCUACCUAUAAGACGGGGGUAACUUCGGGAAACCGGAGCUAAUACCGGAUAAUAUAUUGAACCGCAUGGUUCAAUAGUGAAAGACGGUUUUGCUGGCACUUAUAGAUGGAUCCGCGCCGCAUUAGCUAGUUGGUAAGGUAACGGCUUACCAAGGCAACGAUGCGUAGCCGACCUGAGAGGGUGAUCGGCCACACUGGAACUGAGACACGGUCCAGACUCCUACGGGAGGCGGCAGUAGGGAAUCUUCCGCAAUGGGCGAAAGCCUGACGGAGCAACGCCGCGUGAGUGAUGAAGGUCUUCGGAUCGUAAAACUCUGUUAUUAGGGAAGAACAAAUGUGUAAGUAACUAUGCACGUCUUGACGGUACCUAAUCAGAAAGCCACGGCUAACUACGUG
Molecule: ribosomal RNA, 497 nt
Filed under: uncultured bacterium
Lineage: Bacteria
Description: partial 16S ribosomal RNA
Rfam family: Bacterial small subunit ribosomal RNA
Source: RNAcentral